RNAcentral lists this long non-coding RNA (234 nucleotides) under Setaria italica (foxtail millet). RNAcentral describes it as "long non-coding RNA (SITA_LNC003706)". The record is from RNAcentral. Lineage: Eukaryota; Viridiplantae; Streptophyta; Magnoliopsida; Poales; Poaceae.
UUAAAAAGGUAACUUUCGGGUUUGUCAAGAAGCAUGCUGUGAGGCAUGGUCAAUCAAGAUGAGAUUUGCCCCUCUCUGAUUGAGAGUGAUAUCUCUAGGCCCCUUGAGUGAUCAGAUAUGAAAAUGCAUGGCCAAACUACGUACGGUUAAGAGUUAACCUACAAAGGGAUUCCGAAUCAUAGGAUCGAGAAAGAGCGGUCGGCUUGGAGCUAGAUCAAAUAUCGUGAGGCAAAG